RNAcentral lists this transfer RNA (68 nucleotides) under Phaner electromontis. Its description in RNAcentral is "tRNA-Glu". Lineage: Eukaryota; Metazoa; Chordata; Mammalia; Primates; Cheirogaleidae. The record is from RNAcentral.
GUUUUUAUAGUUGAAAUACAACGAUGGUUUUUCAUAUCAUUAGUCAUGGUUAAUCCCGUGUAAGAACU